GACGAACGCUGGCGGCGUGCUUAACACAUGCAAGUCGAACGGAAAGGCCUCUUUCGGGGGGUACUCGAGUGGCGAACGGGUGAGUAACACGUGAGUAACCUGCCCUUGACUUUGGGAUAACUUCAGGAAACUGGGGCUAAUACCGGAUAGGAGCUCCUGCUGCAUGGUGGGGGUUGGAAAGUUUCGGCGGUUGGGGAUGGACUCGCGGCUUAUCAGCUUGUUGGUGGGGUAGUGGCUUACCAAGGCUUUGACGGGUAUCCGGCCUGAGAGGGUGACCGGCCACAUUGGGACUGAGAAACGGCCCAGACUCCUACGGGAGGCAGCAGGGGGGAAUAUUGCACAAUGGGUGGAAGCCUGAUGCAGCAACGCCGUGUGCGGGAUGACGGCCUUCGGGUUGGAAACCGCUUUCGCUCAUGACGAAGCUUUGUGUGACGGUAGUGGGUAAAGAAGCACCGGCUAACUACGUG
RNAcentral lists this ribosomal RNA (467 nucleotides) under uncultured bacterium. RNAcentral's name for it is "partial 16S ribosomal RNA". It matches the Rfam family "Bacterial small subunit ribosomal RNA", at positions 28 to 507 of the family's 1533-position model. The record is from RNAcentral.